CUUCAAACUAUUAAUAACGGUUUCAGUAAGCUAUCUGAAACAGUGAUAAUACAUCAAAUUGUACAUAAAUUAUCGAACAAUAUGGGACCUAAAACUCGUGAUAAAUAGUAGAAUUGUUACGCCACCUUAUGUGGAAUGAUUUUUGUGCUACACACAAACACAUGUGCAUUUUACUGUAUGUUACAUAUAUCAAACAGUUUGGUGAACAGUUGCAUGCCUUAUGGUGUUAGUGAUCGAAUUGCCGUUGCAAAUUUUUCGUUGUGUUACUGUCAAAUUUAUUUUUUUCGGAGUCAGCCACCAUCGUUUCAUAUAAUUUUGGAGCAUUAAAACUGCGAUAGACACCUAAUAAGUUAUUAUAUCAACUCGAGCAAAAAGCAUUCCAUUAUACCGCUACUUCUCGGUUUCAGCAAAGUGGAGAAAGUGUUCUGCUGACAGCUGUAGUUUUCUUAUCCGAUCGACAGAGAGGUGCCGAUAGAAAUGUGGCCUUGCUCGCUAACCCAACGCUACUGUAAAAAAAUGUGUUGUUCCCAAAUAGCAUCUGCAAUGCUGGUUGUUUCCCGAAAAAAGUACCCAGCUUCUCAGCCCAAUCUUUGCUAAGUAACCCACAACCCACAUUAUCCUGAUGUACGCGUGGAUUGGCUGGGACUCGUGUGGAUGGACCCAAGGAAAAGUUGACGACCAACGAAGGAACCAACUCCAGUGCAUCAUAUUUGCCGUUCAAGUAAUGGUAGCAACGACUGCGAAACAGUGGCCUCCGGCAGGUGCCUCUUAUGAAGGUUCUGGCAAACCAUAUCUGAGAUAUAGACCAACGAAGACGAUCGCACCCAGAGCUGUCGAGUGUACGGAGCACAAAGCAUCCAAUGGAAUACCCAGUUAUGUUCAAAUAUCUCCAGCCAGGAAAAAAUGGAGCAGAAAAAUAUGAUAAAGGAUGAAAACACCGAUGUCAAUGGGUUAUUUUGGUCGUAACCAGGUCGUUCUUUGUUUGACGAUUCCAUGCGUGGACAAUAAAAUAUUCAACGGUACGGUACCGGUAUCACUGACUACAAUGGCAAGCGAAAGGUGGAUGUUGAAAUCCAUUCAGUUGAACGUUAUGAAAAAAAUACUCUAAAUGUUAUUACACGAUGCAGCGAAGUUCGAAACAAACAACGAAGUUCAAAACAAUAUUUUAAGAAUAAUCGUUCCGUUUUCAAUUUUCAAAGUCCAUUCAUUUUGCAUGUUAGAUUGACUAACAGGUUUUUUUUAUAUUCUACUUCGACGGUCUUGGGGAAGAUUCAUGGAUAGGUAACGAAGCUGAACGCUGUUAAGUUCGUGAUUUAUUUAGUGAUUAAUCUUGAAAGAUUACAGUUUAUGUUACGAAUAUUAUGUUUAUAUUGGGCGUUUAUUUAGUUCAUAUAAACCUAUCCAGUCUUUUCUAUAUUUUAGAAUUAGACGUAAAUGUGUAUACAAAU
Long non-coding RNA from Aedes aegypti (yellow fever mosquito), 1448 nucleotides. RefSeq lists it as uncharacterized. The transcript has 4 exons. NCBI's taxonomy places the organism in Eukaryota, Metazoa, Arthropoda, Insecta, Diptera, Culicidae. The record is from RefSeq and is a predicted model, not a curated record.